CCUACGGGGGGCUGCAGUGGGGAAUAUUGGACAAUGGGCGAAAGCCUGAUCCAGCCAUGCCGCGUGUGUGAAGAAGGCCUUCGGGUUGUAAAGCACUUUCAGUGGGGAAGAAAGCCUUGGGGCCAAUACCCUCGAGGAAGGACAUCACCCACAGAAGAAGCACCGGCUAACUCCGUGCCAGCAGCCGCGGUAAUACGGAGGGUGCGAGCGUUAAUCGGAAUUACUGGGCGUAAAGCGCGCGUAGGCGGUCUGAUAAGCCGGUUGUGAAAGCCCCGGGCUCAACCUGGGAACGGCAUCCGGAACUGUCAGGCUAGAGUGCAGGAGAGGAAAGUAGAAUUCCCGGUGUAGCGGUGAAAUGCGUAGAGAUCGGGAGGAAUACCAGUGGCGAAGGCGGCCUUCUGGACUGACACUGACGCUGAGGUGCGAAAGCGUGGGUAGCAAACAGGAUUAGAUACCCCAGUAGUC
Molecule: ribosomal RNA, 465 nt
Filed under: Vreelandella stevensii
Lineage: Bacteria; Pseudomonadati; Pseudomonadota; Gammaproteobacteria; Oceanospirillales; Halomonadaceae
Description: partial 16S ribosomal RNA
Rfam family: Bacterial small subunit ribosomal RNA
Source: RNAcentral